UGGGGAAUUUUGGACAAUGGGCGAAAGCCUGAUCCAGCAAUGCCGCGUGUGUGAAGAAGGCCUUCGGGUGUAAAGCACUUUUGUCCGGAAAGAAAUCCUUGGCUCUAAUACAGUCGGGGAUGACGGUACCGGAAGAAUAAGCACCGGCUAACUACGUGCCAGCAGCCGCGGUAAUACGUAGGGUGCAAGCGUUAAUCGGAAUUACUGGGCGUAAAGCGUGCGCAGGCGGUUUGCUAAGACCGAUGUGAAAUCCCCGGGCUCAACCUGGGAACUGCAUUGGUGACUGGCAGGCUAGAGUAUGGCAGAGGGGGGUAGAAUUCCACGUGUAGCAGUGAAAAUGCGUAGAGAUGUGGAGGAAUACCGAUAGGCGAAGGCAGCCCCCUGGGCCAAAUACUGACGCUCAUGCACGAAAGCGUGGGGAGCAAACAGGAUUAGAUACCCCUGGUAGUCCACGCCCUAAAACGAUGUCAACUAGUUGUUGGGGAUUCAUUUCCUUAGUGACGUAGCUAACGCGUGAAGUUGACCGCCUGGGGAGUACGGUCGCAAGAUUAAAAACUCAAAGGAAUUGAC
Molecule: ribosomal RNA, 570 nt
Filed under: uncultured bacterium
Lineage: Bacteria
Description: partial 16S ribosomal RNA
Rfam family: Bacterial small subunit ribosomal RNA
Source: RNAcentral